RNAcentral lists this transfer RNA (66 nucleotides) under Hippotragus leucophaeus (blue antelope). RNAcentral describes it as "tRNA-Phe". Lineage: Eukaryota; Metazoa; Chordata; Mammalia; Artiodactyla; Bovidae. The record is from RNAcentral.
GUUAAUGUAGCUUAAAUAAAGCAAGGUACUGAAGAUACCUAGAUGAGUAUGUCAACUCCAUAAACA